This is a long non-coding RNA of Gallus gallus (chicken), 1605 nucleotides long. Lineage: Eukaryota; Metazoa; Chordata; Aves; Galliformes; Phasianidae. The record is from Ensembl.
UGUUUGUUUCUGUGUAUUUUUUCUCCAAAGAGUUGCUGACUUUGGGGGAAAAGAUAUCCCAUGACGAUCAGGAUCAACCUGCUUUGGCCACAUCUCUCACCAAGGCAUACAGAGAGCCACUUCAGGCUGCUGUCUGCACGAGGGAGGUUUGAUCUUUCAAAACUUGCUUUGUCAGAAUCCCUUUGCAAGAGAAGAGCAGUGAUUAAUGUUGAUGCCAAUUGCUGGAGAGGCCAUGGAACACCUGCCACUGCUUUCUUCCCACCAGCCAGCAAAGGAGGAAGGUGACUCAGGGAGCAGGGGCAGAAGCCCACUUGUGCAGCAGCACUCCAGAUCUGCCACGUUAGAAGUCCACAAAGACACAGCACCUUUCAGAAAAUGAGAGUUGUAAAGUGCUCCGGUGAUCCAAAGGAGCAGAGCUUCCCGCGGGCUGCCCUGCUGGCAACAGAAGUGGGAAAUGUGCGGGGAGAAUGAGGAAGAGGAGGAGAAUCAUCAGGUUUUAAGCUGAUCUUCCUUUCCCCAGAGAGCCGCUCUGGUUUCAGAUUUUUAUCUCUGGCAUAGUGGUGUAGAUCAGCUGAAAGCAGCAGGAUUUGCCCCUGCAGAGACGUGAGCGGCACUCAGGCGCACAGCCGCGGUAUGCGUGCACAUGAGAGCCAGGACUGAGCAGGAGGUCACCUUCUGAGCCAUGGAUGAGCCCAGGUGCUGAGUGCUCCGAAUGCCCAGCGCUGCAAGCUCAGCUGGGGCAAUGGAUGGAACCUCGCUGUGCAAGAGAGGGAGUGCCAUGUUUUGUGCUGCGGCUUUCUUGGAAGGAGAGCCUGCUGCAGCCCUGCUGCAGGGGAAUGUGGACCACAGCAGGAGGAAAUAGCCUCUGUUUCUCCUCCAGGCACUUUCCCUCUGUGUAACAAUCACCUCUUAAAGCCUCAAUGAAACAGGGUUAAAAAAAAAUAAAAGGAGAGAGCCAGAGCGACAGACCACCCAGGUCAGGGUGCGUUUAUCAGGCAUGCAUCACUCCGUGCAAUGUAAGGCUUCUCUGAGGCACUUCUGGGAGAUUUGACCAGCAAUAUGACUAACACAACACUUGGCAAAGCAAAGACUAAUAGUGUGAUUGUUCUGCCGGCUUCUCCCCUUCUCGAGUAAUAUCGUGCUGAGCAGCGUUCGAGUUAGAGAUCUGAAAGGCCUUUUCAUUAUUGUAUCGAAAACUCCUCUGACUGCAGAUCUCUUAAUCAAAGGACUUUUAUGUAAAGUCACAUUUUUUCCAAAACCAGAAAAGUUCAGGCUCAGAGCAUAAACAUUAGACUCAUUAUUUAGAAAUAGCAAGUAAGUCCUCUGGGUUCUGGUAUCAGAUCAAAGCUAAAAAAUUAAAUUGCUAAAAAAAAAAAGGAAAAAAAUAAGCUCAUUUUGGGGAUCAGCAUAUUUCUUGUUUGCUUUUUAUUAUGGAGCUAAAAAAAGGAAUAGUGAGAUUCUGUCGGUGGUUUUCAAGUGUUUUCCAAAACUGGAAGGGUGCUGCAUGCUGAGCACUUCCACAGUCUGUGGAGGCAGAAAAUAUUUUGUUGACAUGACAAUAAAACCAUUCUGCACUUAUCGCAUUGUUUUCCCCUCUGUUCAUAG